GCAGGGGAGCAGCCUGGCGGCUGUGCGCAGGGCCUGGCUGGAGCCGGGCUGCUUUAGGGCGGAGGUGCCUCAGCGAGCUCUCCGCAGGAGGGGCCGGAGCAGGAUCUUCUGACAAGCUUGAAACUAAGGUGAGGAGACUAGAGCAGACUGGUCACCAAGUCGGCUUCUCUGCGAUACAGGGCAGGGAUGCGCUCUUAGAUGUCUUUGAAGCUUGAUGGGAAGAUGCUGCAUGAGAUGAAAAGCCUUGUCCUCGAGGAGCCAAAGUGUUGGCUGGAUGUUAUCUCUGUUUGGAGAAAGCUUCAUGGGCGUGAGGGGAAAAAAGACAAUGUCUCUCAAGAAAACCCAUCGCUUCUCAAGAGCAAAUCAGAAGAAGAGACAAAUAUUGCAAGCGACAGGCAGAAACCCAAACAAGUGAGAGAGACCGUGUCUGAGCAACGUCAGGCGGAAGCUGGAGAGAGGUGUGUGGUACUAGAGAGGCAGAGAUCAUGUUCCUGCCACCCUCUUCCUCGCGUGCAGACUCUCACCGGACUUUCCCUUUAUUUUCUUCAGACUAGGCAGCCCCCAGCGCUUCAGGCCCGGGGGUGGCUGUGGGGCCACCGGCCCUGCAGCAGAGAUGCUCGCCUGUGGGGGGGAGCUGCUGGCUCCCAGUGUUGUCCCAGCAGUUGGGUUCUUUACCCGGUGUGCAAGAGGCCGAUACACACACAGAGUCGAGUUUAUUUCAUGUUUGCGCAGAGAUGGGUGCUAGGUGGUAACUCCACAAGGCUAGCACCCCUCGGUAA
This is a long non-coding RNA of Gavia stellata (red-throated loon), 779 nucleotides long. RefSeq lists it as uncharacterized. The transcript has 3 exons. The record is from RefSeq and is a predicted model, not a curated record. NCBI's taxonomy places the organism in Eukaryota, Metazoa, Chordata, Aves, Gaviiformes, Gaviidae.